CACGUGACGUGUGGUCAUUGGCUGCGCACCUCAGAGGGUAAGACAGGUGUCACAGAGGUCAGGUCACGUCAAGUGACAGACAGGUUAUGUUUUGAUAUGUCUUGCGAGAUGAAACGACCGUCAAAGCCCUCGGGUGCACAGUACCGAAAGAGAAGAAAAGAGGAGGAGGAGAAGUCCCACUAUAAAGGUAACAUUAUGUCAUCUUCUUUUAAAUGCCGUUUUAUGUGAAGACGUUUCAUUUGUAUUAGCUUUCUAACCAGGUUGAAAUAAAGCAACGCCAGCUUAACACUAGAACGGCCAAGACUGUCAUUUUGACUGUCUUUAAAUUUAUAUGUGCAAUAACUUUGUUGAAUGAAAAAAUGCAAUACUGCUGUUACCUGACUUUUCCUAAAAGUGUGUGUAUUUUUAUUUAGAAUAGUUUUUAUAUAAAUUCCAUGUUUUCAUGCUAGUAACAUUUCUACAAUAUAACCAUUUAAGAUAAAAUUACCAUAUGUAAUUAGUGUUUUAUUUAUUUUUUCCUACCUGAUGUAAAAUGGCUGCCAUGAUGUACUGUACUGUGUGUUUAUAAUUUUUGAAAUAAGACUCAACUAAGAAGGUAAUUUGUGGCAGUCCACACAAUUCUGCCUCAAAUUGUAUUUAUAGUAAAAGAUUAACAUUUGACCAAUUUACAUUUUAAGUCACACAUAAAGAUAUACUCCAUUAUGAGCACUGAAGUGAAUAACACUGAUUAUCUGGUUAUCAUGACACCUGUCAGUGGGUGGGAUAUAUCAGGCAGUGAGUGAACAUUUUGUCCUUAAAGUUGAUGUGUUAGAAGCAGGAAAAAUGGGCAGCGUGAGGAUCUGAGCGACUUUGACAAGGGCCACAUUGUGAUGGAUCGACGACUGGGUCAGAGCAUCUCCAAAACUGCAGCUCUUGAGGGGUGUUCCUGGACUGCAGAGCAGCAGUCAACAUUGGCAUCAGUAACACCUGCCGUGUUAAUGCUCACAUCGCCUUCCAGAUGUUGAACACCAGGACCUGCAAGGGGGAGGACGAAUAUAUUAACUGGGUGCCUGGAGGCUCUGGGAGCGAAUGUCUUCAGGAAUACCUGAAAGAGAGCCUGCUGGGGCAUCGGUCUAGUGUACUGCUGAGGAAUCGGCCCGGCAGUGCUCGUUCCUGACUUUUCCAAUGUAAAGAUCUGGCAGCUGCAGAGAUUUGGAGUCCUUCAAUCUGGAGAAGGUGGACUACCCUGUCCUUUUAUUGAGGGAGCUGAUGGUGAAUCCAGCAUCGCAGAACAGACACGCUACUCGCUAGUGAGCAUCAUCAGCCAUUUGGCCUCCACUGCUCAAUCUGGCCAAUACAUCUGUGAUGGUGCUCACCGACCGCAGGAACCAGGUGAUGUGACAGAUUGUUGGCUCACGUACAACGGCAGUGACUUCAGUGAGACAACCAGCAAACCUGUGUAUCACCAGCAGCAGCGAUCAUCAUACCUGCUGUCCUAUGAGAGACAAGAAUUGAGGAGUCUCGUGGUCAAGAAACGCGCCUUAAGAAAAUUAAGCGGCACAGAAAAGCAGCUCCUGCAGCCGCUACAACGCCAGAUGUUUUUGCUGCAAUUCGGAAAAUAAAUCAGUAAAAGAGUCUCGAGGUCAGGAUGGACAACCUGAACAGCAAGCAGGCGAACCAGUAAUUCAUCUGCAGCUACUGAGAAACAAGAAAGAGCUAUUUGCCUAGCUCCAUUCAACUUCGAACAACUUUGAAGAAUUGUUGAUUCCAGCUGGUCGAGGCAGACCAGACCUAGAGUCGGGGUCUGCUCGAGGUUUCUGCCUCUUAAAAUGACGUCCUUCCUCGCCACUGUCGCCAAGUGGUUGCUCAUUGUGGGAAUUGUAUUGUUAUCUGUAAAUAAUUUCAUAAGGAGAAGUGUACAUCUGAUCAAUACGAAAAGUGGACUGAGAUAACUUCUGUUUGGAUUUGGUGUUAUGAAAAAAAAAUUGAACUGAUUUGAAAUUGAAUUGUUCUCAUCAUCAUUGUUAUGUUGUCAAUUAAGAAAAAGUUUAAGUUGAAAAAAUACCAUUUCAGUAGGAAAAUGUCCCCAAAAAAAACAAUUAAAAAAAGUUGAUAUAUAUAGAGAUAGAGAGAUAGAGAGAUUAGACCAUAGAAAGCCAUGGAUAGUAAAGAUAACUUCCAAUUAAUUUAAUUUGAAUGUUUUCUAACUGCAGUUUGAGUUGUUUUUGUGCUGCUGAUUAUAUUCAUUCAGUCCUGCAUGUCUGUUUUUCUUCCUGUGGCAUCAAUUUUAUGCAAUGCUGCCCUCUACUGGACACAUCACUGCUUAAAUCUGAAUCUGAUGAUCUCCAUUCCUCAUGCUGCACAGUAUGUACAUUUUUGUAUGUGCAUAGUUUAUUGUGGAUAUGUGUCACCAUGUUCACUAAAGGAUUUUAAAUUCCUCUGACCUGUAUGUAUGUAAUCUUCAAAUGCAUUUAAACAUGGGUUGGGUUUUUCUACAUGACAGCUAAUA
Dicentrarchus labrax (European seabass) is the source of this 2488-nucleotide long non-coding RNA. RefSeq lists it as uncharacterized. The record is from RefSeq and is a predicted model, not a curated record. NCBI's taxonomy places the organism in Eukaryota, Metazoa, Chordata, Actinopteri, Moronidae. The transcript is spliced from 7 exons.